CAUGGCCGCGGGAUUGUGCCAGCAGCCGCGGUAAUACAGAGGGUGCAAGCGUUAAUCGGAAUUACUGGGCGUAAAGCGAGCGUAGGUGGCUUGAUAAGUCAGAUGUGAAAGCCCCGGGCUUAACCUGGGAACGGCAUCUGAUACUGUUAGGCUAGAGUAGGUGAGAGGAAGGUAGAAUUCCAGGUGUAGCGGUGAAAUGCGUAGAGAUCUGGAGGAAUACCGAUGGCGAAGGCAGCCUUCUGGCAUCAUACUGACACUGAGGUUCGAAAGCGUGGGUAGCAAACAGGAUUAGAUACCCUGGUAGUCCACGCCGUAAACGAUGUCUACUAGUCGUUGGGUCCCUUGAGGACUUAGUGACGCAGCUAACGCAAUAAGUAGACCGCCUGGGGAGUACGGCCGCAAGGUUAAAACUCAAAUGAAUUGACGGGGGCCCGCACAAGCGGUGGAGCAUGUGGUUUAAUUCGAUGCAACGCGAAGAACCUUACCUGGUCUUGACAUAUCUAGAAAUCCUGCAGAGAUGCGGGAGUGCCUUCGAGAAUUAGAAUACAGGUGCUGCAUGGCUGUCGUCAGCUCGUGUCGUGAGAUGUUGGGUUAAGUCCCGCAACGAGCGCAACCCUUGUCCUUAGUUACCAGCGGUUUGGCCGGGAACUCUAAGGAUACUGCCAGUGACAAACUGGAGGAAGGCGGGGACGACGUCAAGUCAUCAUGGCCCUUACGACCAGGGCUACACACGUGCUACAAUGGUUAGGUACAGAGGGCAGCUACACAGCGAUGUGAUGCGAAUCUCAAAAAGCCUAUCGUAGUCCAGAUUGGAGUCUGCAACUCGACUCCAUGAAGUAGGAAUCGCUAGUAAUCGCGGAUCAGAAUGCCGCGGUGAAUACGUUCCCGGGCCUUGUACACACCGCCCGUCACACCAUGGGAGUUGAUUGCACCAGAAGUGGUUAGCCUAACCUUUUAGGAAGGCGAUCACCACGGUGUGGUUGAUGACUGGGGUGAAGUCGUAACAAGGUAACCGAAUCACUAGUG
RNAcentral lists this ribosomal RNA (1026 nucleotides) under uncultured bacterium. RNAcentral's name for it is "bacterial SSU rRNA". It matches the Rfam family "Bacterial small subunit ribosomal RNA", at positions 486 to 1513 of the family's 1533-position model. The record is from RNAcentral.